Long non-coding RNA from Salvelinus namaycush (lake trout), 263 nucleotides. RefSeq lists it as uncharacterized. The transcript has 3 exons. The record is from RefSeq and is a predicted model, not a curated record. NCBI's taxonomy places the organism in Eukaryota, Metazoa, Chordata, Actinopteri, Salmoniformes, Salmonidae.
GAUUCUCGUUGCUAUUACAGUCCCUCAAAACAGGCAGCCCGGUAACUAGAGAACUAUACAGCAACCCCAACAAGAAGCUUUAUGGAGACCUAUUUGAGCACUCAAUGGGGACCCACACCUUCCAUCUGGCUAAGACAUUUGUGGAUAAAGUCAUCUCUGUCAGAGAGGAGGACUCUCUGGUAGCCAUGCUAAGGUUCCAGGAGUUUGAACACUCCAUGGUGGACACAGAGGGAGCCAUGGGACUGGCGGCCAUCUUGGCUGGU